UUGACCUCGGAUCAGGUAGGAAUACCCGCUGAACUUAAGCAUAUCAAAAGUCGGAGGAA
RNAcentral lists this ribosomal RNA (59 nucleotides) under Fusarium asiaticum. Its description in RNAcentral is "partial 28S ribosomal RNA". The record is from RNAcentral. Lineage: Eukaryota; Fungi; Ascomycota; Sordariomycetes; Hypocreales; Nectriaceae.